This 253-nucleotide ribosomal RNA is filed under the name uncultured bacterium. RNAcentral's name for it is "partial 16S ribosomal RNA". It matches the Rfam family "Bacterial small subunit ribosomal RNA", at positions 524 to 776 of the family's 1533-position model. The record is from RNAcentral.
GAGGGGGGAUGCAAGCGUUAUCCGGAAUCACUGGGCGUAAAGCGUCUGUAGGUGGUGAUGCAAGUCACUGGUGCAAAACUCUGGCUCAACCGGAGGAAAGCCAAUGAAACUGCAUGACUAGAGUGUGGGAGAGGUAGAAGGAAUUCCCUGAGUAGCGGUGAAAUGCGUAGAUACAGGGAAGAACACCGGAGGCGAAAGCGUUCUACUGGAACACAACAGACACUGAGAGACGAAAGCUAGGGGAGCGAAUGAG